Molecule: ribosomal RNA, 291 nt
Filed under: Salmonella enterica
Lineage: Bacteria; Pseudomonadati; Pseudomonadota; Gammaproteobacteria; Enterobacterales; Enterobacteriaceae
Also listed under: 2 other names
Description: partial 16S ribosomal RNA
Rfam family: Bacterial small subunit ribosomal RNA
Source: RNAcentral
UAGACCGCCUGGGGAGUACGGCCGCAAGGUUAAAACUCAAAUGAAUUGACGGGGGCCCGCACAAGCGGUGGAGCAUGUGGUUUAAUUCGAUGCAACGCGAAGAACCUUACCUGGUCUUGACAUCCACGGAAGAAUUCAGAGAUGGAUUUGUGCCUUCGGGAACCGUGAGACAGGUGCUGCAUGGCUGUCGUCAGCUCGUGUUGUGAAAUGUUGGGUUAAGUCCCGCAACGAGCGCAACCCUUAUCCUUUGUUGCCAGCGGUCCGGCCGGGAACUCAAAGGAGACUGCCAGU